UGGGUANUGAGACAAGGACCCAGGCCCUAUGGGGCGCAGCAGGCGAGAAAACUUUGCAAUGUGCGAAAGCACGACAAGGUUAGUCCGAGUGAUUUCUGCUAAAGAGAUCUUUUGCAAGUCGUAAAACCACUAGUGAAUAAGGGGUGGGCAAGUUCUGGUGUCAGCCGCCGCGGUAAAACCAGCACCUCAAGUGGUCAGGAGGAUUAUUGGGCCUAAAGCAUCCGUAGCCUGCUUUGUAAGUUUUCGGUUAAAUCCAUGUGCUCAACACAUGGGCUGCCGAAAAUACUGCACAGCUAGGGAGUGGGAGAGGUAGACGGUACUCAGUAGGAAGGGGUAAAAUCCUUUGAUCUAUUGAUGACCACCUGUGGCGAAGGCGGUCUACCAGAACACGUUCGACGGUGAGGGAUGAAAGCUGGGGGAGCAAACCGGAUUAGAUACCCGGGUAGUCCCAGCUGUAAACGAUGCAGACUCGAUGAUGCAUUGGCAUAUAGCUAGUGCAGUGUCGCAGGGAAGCCGUUAAGUCUGCCGCCUGGGAAGUACGUACGCAAGUAUGAAACUUAAAGGAAUUGGCGGGGGAGCACCACAAGGGGUGAAGCCUGCGGUUCAAUUGGAGUCAACGCCAGAAAUCUUACCCGGAGAGACAGCAGAAUGAAGGUCAAGCUGAAGACUUUACCAGACAAGCUGAGAGGUGGUGCAUGGCCGUCGCCAGCUCGUGCCGUGAGAUGUCCUGUUAAGUCAGGUAACGAGCGAGAUCCCUGCCAUUAGUUGCUAUCAUUAUUCUCAGGAAUAGUGGGGCGAACUAAUGGGACUGCCGUUGUUAAAACGGAGGAAGGAAGGGGCUACGGCAGGUCAGUAUGCCCCGAAACUCUGGGGCCACACGCGGGCUGCAAUGGUAGUGACAAUGAGUUCCAAACUCGAAAGAGAGUGGCAAUCUUCAAACACUACCACAGUUAUGACUGAGGGCUGUAACUCGCCCUCACGAAUAUGGAAUCCCUAGUAACCGCGUGUCAUUACCGCGCGGUGAAUACGUCCCUGCUCCUUGCACACACCGCCCGUCGUUUCAUCGAAGUUUGCUUUUAGCGAGGUGAUGUUUAAUUGGCAUUAUC
RNAcentral lists this ribosomal RNA (1106 nucleotides) under uncultured marine group I thaumarchaeote. RNAcentral describes it as "bacterial SSU rRNA". It matches the Rfam family "Archaeal small subunit ribosomal RNA", at positions 297 to 1404 of the family's 1478-position model. The record is from RNAcentral. Lineage: Archaea; Thermoproteati; Nitrososphaerota.